RNAcentral lists this ribosomal RNA (253 nucleotides) under uncultured bacterium. Its description in RNAcentral is "partial 16S ribosomal RNA". It matches the Rfam family "Bacterial small subunit ribosomal RNA", at positions 524 to 776 of the family's 1533-position model. The record is from RNAcentral.
UACGUAGGGUGCGAGCGUUAAUCGGAAUUACUGGGCGUAAAGUGCGCGCAGGCGGCAGAGCAAGUCGACUGUGAAAGCCCCGGGCUUAACUUGGGAAUUGCGCUCGAAACUACUUUGCUGGAGUGUGGCAGAGGAAGGUGGAAUUCCACGUGUAGCGGUGAAAUGCGUAGAGAUGUGGAGGAACACCAAUGGCGAAGGCAGCCUUCUGGGCCAACACUGACGCUCAUGCACGAAAGCGUGGGGAGCAAACAGG